RNAcentral lists this ribosomal RNA (491 nucleotides) under uncultured marine bacterium. Its description in RNAcentral is "bacterial SSU rRNA". It matches the Rfam family "Bacterial small subunit ribosomal RNA", at positions 382 to 897 of the family's 1533-position model. The record is from RNAcentral.
GCUGAUCAGCCAUGCCGCGUGAGUGAUGAAGGCCUUAGGGUCGUAAAGCUCUUUCGCCAGAGAUGAUAAUGACAGUAUCUGGAAAGAAACCCCGGCUAACUCCGUGCCAGCAGCCGCGGUAUACGGAGGGGGUUAGCGUUGUUCGGAAUUACUGGGCGUAAAGCGCACGUAGGCGGAUCAGAAAGUAUAGGGUGAAAUCCCAGGGCUCAACCCUGGAACUGCCUUGUAAACUCCUGGUCUUGAGUUCGAGAGAGGUGAGUGGAAUUCCGAGUGUAGAGGUGAAAUUCGUAGAUAUUCGGAGGAACACCAGUGGCGAAGGCGGCUCACUGGCUCGAUACUGACGCUGAGGUGCGAAAGUGUGGGGAGCAAACAGGAUUAGAUACCCUGGUAGUCCACACCGUAACGAUGAAUGCCAGACGUCGGCAAGCCGCUUGUUGGUGUCACACCUAACGGAUUAGCAUUCCGCCUGGGGAGUACGGUCGCAAGAUUAA